UUUGAUCCUGGCUCAGGACGAACGCUGGCGGCGUGCCUAAUACAUGCAAGUCGAGCGGACAGAUGGGAGCUUGCUCCCUGAUGUUAGCGGCGGACGGGUGAGUAACACGUGGGUAACCUGCCUGUAAGACUGGGAUAACUCCGGGAAACCGGGGCUAAUACCGGAUGCUUGUUUGAACCGCAUGGUUCAAACAUAAAAGGUGGCUUCGGCUACCACUUACAGAUGGACCCGCGGCGCAUUAGCUAGUUGGUGAGGUAACGGCUCACCAAGGCAACGAUGCGUAGCCGACCUGAGAGGGUGAUCGGCCACACUGGGACUGAGACACGGCCCAGACUCCUACGGGAGGCAGCAGUAGGGAAUCUUCCGCAAUGGACGAAAGUCUGACGGAGCAACGCCGCGUGAGUGAUGAAGGUUUUCGGAUCGUAAAGCUCUGUUGUUAGGGAAGAACAAGUACCGUUCGAAUAGGGCGGUACCUUGACGGUACCUAACCAGAAAGCCACGGCUAACUACGUGCCAGCAGCCGCGGUAAUACGUAGGUGGCAAGCGUUGUCCGGAAUUAUUGGGCGUAAAGGGCUCGCAGGCGGUUCCUUAAGUCUGAUGUGAAAGCCCCCGGCUCAACCGGGGAGGGUCAUUGGAAACUGGGGAACUUGAGUGCAGAAGAGGAGAGUGGAAUUCCACGUGUAGCGGUGAAAUGCGUAGAGAUGUGGAGGAACACCAGUGGCGAAGGCGACUNNNNGGUCUGUAACNGACGNGA
This 754-nucleotide ribosomal RNA is filed under the name Bacillus mojavensis. RNAcentral describes it as "bacterial SSU rRNA". It matches the Rfam family "Bacterial small subunit ribosomal RNA", at positions 12 to 749 of the family's 1533-position model. Lineage: Bacteria; Bacillati; Bacillota; Bacilli; Caryophanales; Bacillaceae. The record is from RNAcentral.